AAUCUCCAUGAAGACGCCUCCAUUUUUUAAGCAGGGACAACAGCCAUGAGGUGACAUUGGCUAUCAGACCAAUGAAUCUUCUGGGGUUCGGCGCUCUAUAAUGUAUCUGUCAACCUACAUGUUCUGUCUGAGAUAUGAGGGAUACACCUAGUGUAUUAACCGAUUAACCCUAAGAAUGCCCAGAGGUCUCUCUUGGUUUUAGGUGUGGCGGUAUCUAGGAUGCCUUUCACUUUUUCUCAUUGAGGCUGGGCACCGCCAUUCCCUACAAAGAAGACAAGGUAUUUCACGGCUGAUUGGGCCAGCUUACAUUUGGAUGGAUUGUCAGAUAAGCCAGCUUCUCUGAGGGCUCUCAUCAUAGUAAAGAGAUGGAAAAGAUAGUCUUCCCACAUCUUACUAUAAAGACUAUGGGCCUCAUUACGGGUCCGGGGGUAACCGUGCUGGUAAAACCAGCAGGCAUCUGCCGGACCCGUAAUUAAUUACCGGUGCCUGACUUCCAUGUGCCACCCGGCUAUUUUGAGUCCGGUGGCCGGAGGCAAUUCUGUUAGUCCCCAUGGGAAUGGGGACGAUGGAGCACCGGCAGCAUUAACAACGGUGUUGGUGCAUCCAUGAGAACUCUGCGGGCGGGUGCUGUCCCGCCCAGCAGGUCUGACCCUGGCGGACGGGACGGCACCCACCCACAGAGUCGUACUGUGCUGGUCCGUUAACAACAGUGCCAGUAGGUUUACCGGUACCGUUGUUACCGGACCGGCACAGUCAUAAUGAAGCCCUAUGUUGUCAAUAUAAGCCCCACAGAAAUUGAAGUAGGGUUGUAAUAUCCUGUCCAUAAGCUGCUGGAAAGUGGCAGCGGCCCUGUGUAAGGCAAAAGGGAGGACUUUGAACUGGAAUAGUCCCAGGGGCAUCAAAAGAUCUGUCUUUUCCUUAUGAGCUCCAUGUUCUUGGACCUGCUAGUAUCCUUAAGUCUAGGGUUGAUAGGAAGGUGGCAUUUCAGAGUUUAUCAAUCAAUUUGUCGAGGCAUGGCAUGGCAUAGGCAUCAGAUGGCAUUGACCUGUCGGAAGUCUAUGCAAAACCUCCAGCAAUAGUCAGGUUUUGUAACCAAUAUUAUAGGGGAAGACCAUUUGCUUAAAAAGGGUUCUAUAAUUUUUGCCCUUCAGAUGCCAGCGCCCAAUGUGCCACUUUUGGUACGCAGUACUGGAGCUGCAGGAUGAACUGAACACCAGGUUGAGGAGCACAAGGGUGAUGCUCAUCAGGCCCCUGAAAAUGUGUUGAUAGAUAUAGACAGCAGAAUAGUGCUCAGGAAUCCAUGGACAUAAGAAUCUGUUUAGUAGUGGGUAAAAACUCACCUGCUGAAUGAACUAGACCUUUCAAUGGAUGGUGCUGGAGAAUCAAGUCCAUACCCAGACACUUCAAGCCACAAGGGCUAAGCUGGAAGAGUAGGAGGGCUACUGCUGUGUGCAUGGUAACCUCGGACAAUUGCCUUGGUGGAGCCGCCACAGGUGCAGACCUUGGUGGUGGUAGAAAUAUUCAAAUGUGAACUUUGAUGGCCAUAGUGGCGGUGGGUAACAUGUGAACAGUUUCUAAGAGAUGGGCAUGCAUUGUUCGGAAGGGAAAGGCAAUGUCCUCCAUUGCCCUCAGCCGAUCGAAAGUGAGUCAGAUUCAGAUCACUGAACCAGAGUGGUGUAGACAGAUACCCUCACAGCAUCCAUUGCAGUGAUGGAUACGUUCCAGGAGAAUCUGGCAUGCACUUUAGGGGGAGUAGUAUUUUCUUUGUGAAGGGCAGGACAUCUUGAAAUGUGUUUGCCCUUAGAGAGGGGAUUGAGCGUUGGUAAGCAUCGCGUUUUGUGUGGAGUACGUUCAGCUCUUGCUGGUCCUUGUUAAUACAGGAGAGAUUGUGCAAAUCUCGCACUGACAUGUACCCAGUUCUGCAGCAGGAUCCCAAGGUGACCCACCUCCGGCAUGUUGGAACAAUGUAGGUAAGAGUAGUCGGCAAGUUAGAUCUGUAACUUUGGGAUGAGAAUUAGCUGUACAUGCUGGUUGGGUCUGGCUGGUGCACAUGGCAGUGCUGGCUGUACACCAUGGCUGGUUGAGGCAUCUCCAUAACAGCGGACCCUCCCAACUCUGGACAUGAGCCAGGCCCUUCCUGUGGAUCACCCAUCUGGGGUAGUGUCCUCUCUCCCUUACCCUCUGGGGUUUCGGGGCAUGCCUCAGCCAGUGCCUAGCAGAUUACUUAGUACUGGUGCAGACCAGGGUCAGCCAACGGUUUAAUUGUGACAAUCAUCAGAGGCCCGAGGUGCGUGUUAAUGCAAUGUGAUUUCUGCCCAGUGCUCUGAAUGUCAAUGUGAUGAAAUUCAAUAAAGCGCAGGUAAACAGUGGGAGUAACUAUGACUCCCUUAAGGUGGCCAAAUACAUCAUCUCAGUGGUGGCAUGCAUGAAUGGAUGAGCGGAAUUCCCACUGUCCUUACCUACUAUCUAGAGAACCAGAGCCAAAGGAACAGGCUUGUUAAAAUCAGAGGGGAUAGGAGACCCUGUUGAGUUUGGCUCUAGUCUGGCACUGUGAGGAGACAAGAGAGGUUUGUGAUAGGUGGGAGGACUUUGGGCCAGCAGUGAAAUACCACUAGUGUUAUCAUUUUUGUGCAUACCCAGUGAGGUGGGGAAGCACGCCUUGUGGGGCUGUCACUUCUGGCUCACAAAAACCAGACUCCAGCCAGGCAUGACCCACUCCAGGGACAUUGGCAAUUGUGGAGCUUGAUUGGGGCAGUACACCUGUCCUACAAUAAUGCAUUUUUCCUAAGGCAAGCUCACAGAGGGCAGAAACAUCCCACGGAGAAGAAGGGCAAAAUCUUGCUGGAUCUCAAUUUCAUGUAUGCAGAGUAAGCAGAGCCUCAUGAUCCUUCUGACGUUUCUAUGUGUCGAGCAGGAGGUGUCAGUACAUUUACUCUGGGAUAACUGUCUUGGGGAACCAAAGCAUUUAUUGCGACAUCACAUUAUUAUCCUUUCAAAGCAGCUCUUACUAUCACUGUGAAGCACAAUUCAACACAUGUUACAUUGUUCACCCACUAACAGAGAACAUGAGCUGGGUUUAGACCAUUGUGGGGCAGGUUAGUUUUACACUACUGAUGAUGUGCUGGUGCAAUAGUGAUCCUGCUCAGUACGAGAGGAAAUACAUGUUUAGAUUUUUGGUGUAUGUGCUUGGCUGAGGAGCCAUUGGGGCAAAGCUGUCAUCUGUAGGAUUAUGACUGAAUGCAUUUAAGUCAGAUUCCCGCCUAAACUGUAACGCUGCUGUAGCACUGUGGAUCUUCCAUUGGCUUAGGAUAGCCAGCAUCUGGGCUGGUGCGUAGAGCUGCUUGCCUCAGGACUCAAGUGUGUACAGAAGUCGGCCACCUCACCCGUAGUGCACCAGAUGUUUGU
RNAcentral lists this ribosomal RNA (3405 nucleotides) under Ambystoma mexicanum (axolotl). RNAcentral describes it as "eukaryotic LSU rRNA". The stretch from base 1089 to 3405 matches the Rfam family "Eukaryotic large subunit ribosomal RNA". The record is from RNAcentral. Lineage: Eukaryota; Metazoa; Chordata; Amphibia; Caudata; Ambystomatidae.